RNAcentral lists this ribosomal RNA (332 nucleotides) under uncultured bacterium. RNAcentral describes it as "bacterial SSU rRNA". It matches the Rfam family "Bacterial small subunit ribosomal RNA", at positions 568 to 898 of the family's 1533-position model. The record is from RNAcentral.
CCUGCAGGCGGUCUCGUAAGUGGGGUGUGAAAUCUCCCGGCUUAACUGGGAGGGGCCAUUCCAUACUGCGGGACUCGAGGGCAGAAGAGGGAAGCGGAAUUCCCGGUGUAGUGGUGAAAUGCGUAGAUAUCGGGAGGAACACCAGUGGCGAAGGCGGCUUCCUGGCCUGCUCCUGACGCUAAGAGGCGAAAGCUAGGGGAGCGAACGGGAUUAGGAACCCCGGUAGUCCUAGCCGUAAACGAUGGAUACUGGGUGUCGGUGGUCCUAACCCCAUCGGUGCCGAAGCAAACGCGUUAAGUAUCCCGCCUGGGGACUACGGCCGCAAGGUUAAA